CCUACGGGGCGCAGCAGUGGGGAAUAUUGGACAAUGGGCGAAAGCCUGAUCCAGCCAUGCCGCGUGUGUGAAGAAGGCCUUCGGGUUGUAAAGCACUUUCAGUGGGGAAGAAAGCCUUGGGGCUAAUACCCUCGAGGAAGGACUUCACCCACAGAAGAAGCACCGGCUAACUCCGUGCCAGCAGCCGCGGUAAUACGGAGGGUGCGAGCGUUAAUCGGAAUUACUGGGCGUAAAGCGCGCGUAGGCGGUCUGAUAAGCCGGUUGUGAAAGCCCCGGGCUCAACCUGGGAACGGCAUCCGGAACUGUCAGGCUAGAGUGCAGGAGAGGAAGGUAGAAUUCCCGGUGUAGCGGUGAAAUGCGUAGAGAUCGGGAGGAAUACCAGUGGCGAAGGCGGCCUUCUGGACUGACACUGACGCUGAGGUGCGAAAGCGUGGGUAGCAAACAGGAUUAGAUACCCCAGUAGUC
RNAcentral lists this ribosomal RNA (465 nucleotides) under Vreelandella stevensii. RNAcentral's name for it is "partial 16S ribosomal RNA". It matches the Rfam family "Bacterial small subunit ribosomal RNA", at positions 338 to 795 of the family's 1533-position model. The record is from RNAcentral. Lineage: Bacteria; Pseudomonadati; Pseudomonadota; Gammaproteobacteria; Oceanospirillales; Halomonadaceae.